CCAGACUCCUACGGGAGGCAGCAGUGGGGGAUAUUGCACAAUGGGGGCAACCCUGAUGCAGCGACGCCGCGUGAGCGAUGGAGUACUUCGGUAUGUAAAGCUCUGUCAGCAGGGAAGAGAAUGACGGUACCUGACUAAGAAGCCCCGGCUAACUACGUGCCAGCAGCCGCGGUAAUACGUAGGGGGCAAGCGUUAUCCGGAUUUACUGGGUGUAAAGGGAGCGUAGACGGCAAUACAAGUCGGAAGUGAAAUACCCGGGCUCAACCUGGGAACUGCUUUGGAAACUGUGCGGCUGGAGUGUCGGAGAGGCAAGUGGAAUUCCUAGUGUAGCGGUGAAAUGCGUAGAUAUUAGGAGGAACACCAGUGGCGAAGGCGGCUUGCUGGACGACGACUGACGUUGAGGCUCGAAAGCGUGGGGAGCAAACAGGAUUAGAUACCCGUAAUG
Molecule: ribosomal RNA, 445 nt
Filed under: uncultured bacterium
Lineage: Bacteria
Description: bacterial SSU rRNA
Rfam family: Bacterial small subunit ribosomal RNA
Source: RNAcentral